AUCUCCCGAUCUAAAUACAAAAUCAACUUCGCUCUGUUUUCUAAUUAUUGUUACAAUCUAGUACAAUUUCUAGUUUAUUUUAUUAAACGAAAAUAUAAAAUAACUUUAUAUUUGCGAACGCAGGGAAAAUGUAUUAGAAAAAAGGAAAAAUGUACUAGCGUAUAAAAUACACUAAAAUGUACUAAAAUUGUACUAGCUCUGGCAAUACUGAGUGGAGGUUAUACAGUUCCUCUCUUUUCUUAAACUGUUCAUUAAAAAAUAGUAAAUCAAGGUACCAUUGGAAAGAGAAUUACAAGACACAGAAAAAAGAUACAAACAACAGAAAUGAUUUUCUUCCGAAGCUAAAAUGGUUCGGAUAUGUGAUGAAUGAGGCAAAGAUUACAAAAAAAAAUUAAUAAAUGUUAUGAGUUUCAAUUUGUUUACUAAGUGUAAUGAUUCUCUUAUUAACUAUAAUUCUGUGGUCAACAGAAAAAGAAGAAUUUGACUUAUGUUUUUGACUUUAGUAGAUCCUAGAAUUAAAUAACGUGUGUAUUAGUUUGUAGAAAUAAAUCCAUGACAAUCUUGGUCAUCACUUGUAAAAAUGUUUUAGUAGGAAUAUAAAUAGAAAUCCGUUACACAAUUUAAUCAAGUCUUAUAAAUAAAAUUCAGAACAGUAAGGGUGAGAAACAGAGGAAACCCAAGGAAGAUAUGGAUGGACGAAAUCAACAAAUCGAUUGAGAAAGUCUCGAUGAAAAAAGAAAUCAACCCCAGGUCUUACACUCGUAAGGUAUAUUCAAUGGUUUCCACGGUGAUUGUCUAAUAGAAAUUCAUUCGAGAUUUAAUCUAUUUCCAUUGGAAAAUUCACAAACAACUUCUUUGUAUCUCCAAAUUCUUUCAAUAACUAGAAAAGGAGCUGAUGGUUUUGCAAAAUGUUUAAUCUGUAGCAUAUCUUACACUGGAAGUGCUAAUAUUAAGGCAUAAACUAUAUUCACUUAAAUUAACGAUCUUGUUUUAAUUACCAACUUAAAUUAGAAUUUCAAAUUGUUAUUGCAUUUAAUGACACAUAAAAGCAAAAAAAGCCCAGCAACAUCUUUACUUGGAUAUUAUUGGCCUAUUUCGGUGUCAAAAAGUAGUACAUUUUAGUAAAAAAAGUGCAUGAAUUUGGUGAAAACGUUUAUUUCCUUCCCAGAAUGAACAACCACAUUUGUUUUAAAAUUUGAGGGACCCAAAUCUAUAUAAAAUAUAAAAUUUCGUUUUAAUAUCUUAAGUUCCAGUUUCAUGUUUAUGCGCGAUGCUGAAUUAAAGCGUCAAAAUGUAGUCACGUGAUAUAAUUUCGACUAGAGCACCAUCUUGAAUUAAUGCAAUGUCAAAUUUAAAAACGUCAACCUCUAAACACCCUGUUAAUAGUUGGUUAAACUAUAAACAUAAUGUGUGCAAAUAUAAAUUAUCAUUUAAAAAACUUCUAUGAACAUUCUACAUUUUUAAGUUAAAUACACGAUUUAAAAACCUAAAGAUGCUUAGUUUUGACGUUGAUUUAAUGAGGGAGAGAUGACGCUCAAGUCAAAAUUGUACUAUGUGACAUCAUUUGAUGCCAUAAACCAACACUAAACUACAUUAUGCGCAAAAGUGAGGUUAAGCUCAUUACCUAUUUACUUGAAAUAUAACGUCAAUCACUUAAUUGACAGUUGUACGUGUAAACAGAAUUAAUAUUAAAGUAGUAAUUGGAAUUGUACUAUUGAAAGAAAGUCAAAAGUUAGAAAGAUAUACAUAUCUUGACUUUUUUACUAAAAUGUACAUGUAUGAUAUAUACCAUAUGCCGAUAAUAUUCUAGUUUAAAUUGGUAAAAUAUGUUUAAUCUCAUAUAUAAAAAACGAAAAACUAUUCGUAAUAAGCUCGUUAUAUUAAAACAGACUGAAUUUUUUUAUAAACUCUAUUAAAUUGUUUGCAGGAUAUUACGAUUAAAAAUUGUUUAAAUGUCUAUAAAAUAAUGAACCUACCAAAUAUGUUUUCAGAUUUAUUGUCAUAUGAGUUUCGCAUAAUCUUAACCUAACAAAAUAAGUUUUUGUAAUUAGAUGAUGAAACAUGGAUUAAAAUUUUCCUAGAUACAUAUAUAGCACUUAGAACACGAUUUGACCCGGAAUUUUGGUCAUCGAUAUUCUGGAUAUCCUGGAAACGUCGCAAUUUUAAUUCUGCAUAAUAUAUUAGAUGUUGUAAAAAUAUUGGGAUUGAAGAAUAUCUUCAAUUUUUCCGUUUUUCAAAACUGGGCAAAUUGGAAACUUGUCAAGGGAUAAAAAAAGGGUCUGACAAGGUCUGCAACCAAAGCUAUUAUAGAAAAUUAAAAAGCAUCUUCCUUUAUAUUAUUUCAAGUUGCUGAGAUCCUAACAAAGGGAUUCGCUUAUUACAGCAGAAACAUCGCUAUUUGCAGUUGACACAGACAUCCUAGCAACUCAUGAAAAUCCUGUGGAGACAUUUAACACACAACAGAAUCACCUAGAUCAAUUGAAAGUUUGGCGGCUGCACAAAUGGAAAAUCAAGAUCAAUGAGUCCAAAUCUGCACCGUAGUAUAUAUCAAACCAAACUAUACGUGAAUAUCUAAAUGUACUAAAAUUAAGGAUGUAAUUAAAGAAAAAAGCCACAGAAAUAGCCGUCAGACCUAAUCAUGUCAACACAUUAACCUAAAGAGAUUGUUUUUUUUUUCACAAUAUAUUUUUACUUUUAGUAGUUUGUAACACGAAAAUUGUGAUAUCCUGCAUAUACCGUAUACUUAUGUGCUAAUUUCCAAAGCGAAGCUGUAGAAGAAAUCAAAAAGUAGUACAUGAUUUUCAAGAAAUAUUUGGUAUUCAAAUAAAAUAUAAUUCUCAAUAGUCAUUUUCCAGAAAUUUUAAUUGUACCAAUAGAAAAAAUUUGGCAAUUAAUGAUGAAAAUGAAAAAAUGAUCUUCACCAUGCAACAAUUUCUUUUUGAAUAUUUAACUGGGAGGGAUUGGACUAGUGUUUGUCCGAUUAUCUGUUUCCUGCCUUUUGGAGUACUGAAAGAAUGAAAUUAAGAUUCCUGGGAAUAUCUCCUUGAAUUUCUAUUAAUAUUUUUUUUGCAAUAAGUUCUGCCGCAAUUUUCUGAUUUCUGUCAUGGAAUGAUAGUUUAUAAUCGAUAUUAUUAUAAACAUUUUUUUUGUAAAACGCUAAUGUUAAGUUAGGGAGAUCCAUUUGGAUAUCUUCUUUGUUCUAGAGUUUCAUUCUUUCAUUUAUAUUCAGUUCGAAGGGCCAGAAAGUAUCAUUGUUAGUUUGCUAUAAUUCCAAGCACAUAUUCACCAUUCAAUUUGUUUAUUUAAAAUAAUUCAUACCAAAUUGGAGAAACUUUAAAUUAUUAUUGCUUUUAUUUGACCCAUGUUUAGCUCAACACCCUAUUGACAAAAGUUCUUCUGCAUAUAUUGAAAUAUAAUUUUUUUAAAACAUAAUUUCUACUAAAAAUUUGAUUGGGAUUAAAACAAAAUAAAAAAAAUACUUCGAUUGUUUAUUAUCGUUUACAUAGAAAAAAAAUAACAUAUUCUCUAAAAUCUAAUAUUUUAUCUAUACAGGAUGUAUAAAAAUGUAUUAGCUUAACAAAAAUUUUAGUUGUAGGAUUCAGAGAUUUAAUUGCAUGUCAUUAUUUGAAACUUCGAUUUUUGUACAUCCUGUAUGGUAAAAAAUAUUGUCUUUAAAUAAAAAAAUCAAAAUAAAUGGGAUGAUAAUAAUAAAGGUAACUCUAAAUCACAACAAUAGGAACUAAAAAUCCUAACAAAAGCUUUUAAAGAUAAUUUAAAUAUUUAUAAUGUAAUUUUUUUCGAGUUUAUGAAAAUUGAAUCAAAAAUUUUGACAAAAAUUCUACAACUAUUUAUUAAUAAUUUUGUAUAGGGUAAAUCACAAUUAGCUGUAACUAUAGGUAAUAUUUUUUCAAAAAUUUGUAUAAGGGAGUUUUCCAAAGACCUCGUUACAGUUAAAAUAUUUCCAAUUCUUUUCCAGUGGAAAUGAAUCUGUUUCUUUGAAAACCCUGUAAAACAUUUUUCCAAUAUCAUAACUUUAUUUGAAGUAUCAUAUGUCUAGAAUUCAAAUGACGAUUCUAUUUUUUGGCUUCUUGCUUACAAUUUUUGCUUGUCUAAAUCAAGUUUUUGUAAAAUUUUGAAAAAACUAAAACUCGUUCCUAAUCAGUUUUUUUUUUAAAUAUUUCCAAAUAUUUACGUGUUUUCAGUCAAGAUAUUUUGAGUUUAUUAAAAUUUUUAAAACAAUUAAAGUAACAGUAUAACAACAA
Molecule: long non-coding RNA, 4262 nt
Organism: Diorhabda sublineata
Lineage: Eukaryota; Metazoa; Arthropoda; Insecta; Coleoptera; Chrysomelidae
Exons: 3
Source: RefSeq, a predicted model, not a curated record